GACGAACGCUGGCGGCGUGCUUAACACAUGCAAGUCGAACGGAAAGGCCCUGCUUUUGUGGGUUUCUCGAGUGGCGAACGGGUGAGUAACACGUGAGUAACCUGCCCUUGACUUUGGGAUAUCUUCAGGAAACUGGGGCUAAUACCGGAUAGGAGCUCCUGCUGCAUGGUGGGGGUUGGUAAGUUUCGGCUGUUGGGGAUGGACUCGCUGCUUAUCCGCUUGUUGGUGUGGUAGUGGCUUACCAAGGGUUUGACGGGUAGCCGGCCUGAGAGGGUGAACGGGGACAAUGGGACUGAGAGACGGCGCAGACGGGUACGGGAGGCAGCAGGGGGGAAUAUUACAGAAUGGGGGGAAGCGUGAGGCAGAAACGCCGGGAGCGGGAUGACGGGCUUCGGGUUGAAAACAGAUGUGGCAGGUGACGAAGAGUGAGUGACGGUAAUGGGUAAAGAAGCACCGGCUAACUACGUG
This 468-nucleotide ribosomal RNA is filed under the name uncultured bacterium. RNAcentral describes it as "partial 16S ribosomal RNA". It matches the Rfam family "Bacterial small subunit ribosomal RNA", at positions 28 to 507 of the family's 1533-position model. The record is from RNAcentral.